Non-coding RNA from Helianthus annuus (common sunflower), 160 nucleotides. Lineage: Eukaryota; Viridiplantae; Streptophyta; Magnoliopsida; Asterales; Asteraceae. The record is from Rfam.
UCACUUACCUGGAUGGGGUCAAUGGGUGAUAAGAAAGCCCAUGGCCUAGGUUAGUGUCCUCCAUUGCACUUAGGAGGGGUGCUACCCUAAGAUCGGCCCAAGUGGUUAAGUCUACAUCAUAAUUUGUGGCAGUGGAGGCCUGCGUUCGUGUGGCUUCUAC